This 247-nucleotide ribosomal RNA is filed under the name uncultured bacterium. RNAcentral describes it as "partial 16S ribosomal RNA". It matches the Rfam family "Bacterial small subunit ribosomal RNA", at positions 15 to 248 of the family's 1533-position model. The record is from RNAcentral.
GAUCCUGGCUCAGGAUGAACGCUAGCGGCAGGCUUAACACAUGCAAGUCGAGGGGCAGCAUGAGGAGUCAGCAAUGACACCUUGAUGGCGACCGGCGCAAGGGUGCGUAACGCGUGAGCAACCUGCCCGUCACGGGGGGAUAACCGGUGGGAACGCCGACUAAUAUCCCAUAGUUCUUUUUAGGGGCAUCCCUUUAAAGAUAAAGGCUUCGGCCGGUUGACGGAUGGGCUCGCGUGACGUUAGGCAG